RNAcentral lists this long non-coding RNA (917 nucleotides) under Ananas comosus (pineapple). Its description in RNAcentral is "long non-coding RNA (ACOM_LNC035035)". Lineage: Eukaryota; Viridiplantae; Streptophyta; Magnoliopsida; Poales; Bromeliaceae. The record is from RNAcentral.
AAAAAAAAAGAACGAACGAAAAAAAUAAGAGGAAGAGGACACGGCGUUACCCUCUUUACUGUUGUAAAGAGCCGAAGAGGCGAUGUAGGAGGGUUGGAAAGAAAAAAAAAAGGAAAUGGCGCGGCCUUGACGGGGUCGGAGGUGAGGAAUGCGGGGGGUGUGCGGGCGAGGGUGAGAAUGCGCCGGACAGAGACGAGGCGGUCGCUUGCGCUUCCGCCUCCGCUACCCUCUGGAGAGAGAAAGAAAAAAAAGAGAGAGAGAGAAAAAAAAGAAAAAAAAUAUUUUGGUCAAUUUAUUAAAAAUUUGGUCUAAAUUUGUAAAAUUUAAAAAUACCAUCUACUUUUGGAAAUUUUCAAAAUUAAUAGAUUUUUUUAUGCAAAUUGGCCUAAAGGACUUUUUUCGAAAAUAACCCUCUGAAAUUUUAUAAUUGGCAAAAUAACCCUCUGAAAAUUUUAUUUGUGAAACUAACCCUCCUCUCGCUACCUCAGCCGCCACCUCAGCAUUUCUCAUAAAGACGGUGACUUGUUCACCGUCUCCUGAAGACAGUAAAUCGGUAAAUCGUUAACCGUCUUCUCGGGCGUGGACCCCUCGCAUUCUCAGCAAUUCCCCGCGUAUCAGCGCCUACGCAGCAAUUUCAACAGAAGGCGGUGACUCGUUUACCAUCUUAACAAAGACGGUGAAUCGUCCACCGCCUUAUCUAAGCGUACACCAUUCGCCGCAUUCGCCGCCUUCUCAGUGUUGCCACCCCUCGCCUUCUCAGCAAUUCCCCGCGUAUCAGUGCCCACGCAGCAAUUCAACAGAAGACGGUGACUCGUUUACCGUCUUUAACAAAGACGGUGAAUCCGAUCGACAGCGAGGGGCGUAAAUAAGACGGUGAAUCGUUCACCGUCUUAGUUAAGACGGUUAAUGGUUUACCG